Molecule: ribosomal RNA, 1506 nt
Filed under: metagenome
Description: bacterial SSU rRNA
Rfam family: Bacterial small subunit ribosomal RNA
Source: RNAcentral
AGAGUUUGAUCCUGGCUCAGGACGAACGCUGGCGGCGUGCCUAAUACAUGCAAGUAGAACGCUGAAGAGAGGAGCUUGCUCUUCUUGGAUGAGUUGCGAACGGGUGAGUAACGCGUAGGUAACCUGCCUUGUAGCGGGGGAUAACUAUUGGAAACGAUAGCUAAUACCGCAUAACAAUGGAUGACCCAUGUCAUUUAUUUGAAAGGGGCAAAUGCUCCACUACAAGAUGGACCUGCGUUGUAUUAGCUAGUAGGUGAGGUAACGGCUCACCUAGGCGACGAUACAUAGCCGACCUGAGAGGGUGAUCGGCCACACUGGGACUGAGACACGGCCCAGACUCCUACGGGAGGCAGCAGUAGGGAAUCUUCGGCAAUGGGGGCAACCCUGACCGAGCAACGCCGCGUGAGCGAAGAAGGUUUUCGGAUCGUAAAGCUCUGUUGUAAGUCAAGAACGAGUGUGAGAGUGGAAAGUUCACACUGUGACGGUAGCUUACCAGAAAGGGACGGCUAACUACGUGCCAGCAGCCGCGGUAAUACGUAGGUCCCGAGCGUUGUCCGGAUUUAUUGGGCGUAAAGCGAGCGCAGGCGGUUUGAUAAGUCUGAAGUUAAAGGCUGUGGCUCAACCAUAGUUCGCUUUGGAAACUGUCAAACUUGAGUGCAGAAGGGGAGAGUGGAAUUCCAUGUGUAGUGGUGAAAUGCGUAGAUAUAUGGAGGAACACCGGUGGCGAAAGCGGCUCUCUGGUCUGUAACUGACGCUGAGGCUCGAAAGCGUGGGGAGCGAACAGGAUUAGAUACCCUGGUAGUCCACGCCGUAAACGAUGAGUGCUAGGUGUUGGAUCCUUUCCGGGAUUCAGUGCCGCAGCUAACGCAUUAAGCACUCCGCCUGGGGAGUACGACCGCAAGGUUGAAACUCAAAGGAAUUGACGGGGGCCCGCACAAGCGGUGGAGCAUGUGGUUUAAUUCGAAGCAACGCGAAGAACCUUACCAGGUCUUGACAUCCCGAUGCUAUUUCUAGAGAUAGAAAGUUACUUCGGUACAUCGGUGACAGGUGGUGCAUGGUUGUCGUCAGCUCGUGUCGUGAGAUGUUGGGUUAAGUCCCGCAACGAGCGCAACCCCUAUUGUUAGUUGCCAUCAUUCAGUUGGGCACUCUAGCGAGACUGCCGGUAAUAAACCGGAGGAAGGUGGGGAUGACGUCAAAUCAUCAUGCCCCUUAUGACCUGGGCUACACACGUGCUACAAUGGUUGGUACAACGAGUUGCGAGUCGGUGACGGCAAGCUAAUCUCUUAAAGCCAAUCUCAGUUCGGAUUGUAGGCUGCAACUCUCCUAUAUGAAGUCGGAAUCGCUAGUAAUCGCGGAUCAGCACGCCGCGGUGAAUACGUUCCCGGGCCUUGUACACACCGCCCGUCACACCACGAGAGUUUGUAACACCCGAAGUCGGUGAGGUAACCUUUUGGAGCCAGCCGCCUAAGGUGGGAUAGAUGAUUGGGGUGAAGUCGUAACAAGGUA